CGCAUGCGCAGUGACUGCCGGUAGCUCCUGAAAGUGACAGGCAGGGUAUGCAGGGCGGCGUUGAGUCCUCGGGGCCCCGGCUGUCAGGAACAAUGGAGAACCUAGAUACCUGCCUAGAAAAUGA
Nanorana parkeri is the source of this 124-nucleotide long non-coding RNA. RefSeq lists it as uncharacterized. The transcript is spliced from 2 exons. The record is from RefSeq and is a predicted model, not a curated record. Lineage: Eukaryota; Metazoa; Chordata; Amphibia; Anura; Dicroglossidae.